This 265-nucleotide unclassified non-coding RNA is filed under the name Hevea brasiliensis (rubber tree). Lineage: Eukaryota; Viridiplantae; Streptophyta; Magnoliopsida; Malpighiales; Euphorbiaceae. The record is from RNAcentral.
UGUCGCGCCAACAAAAACCGCCGGAUUUCCGGCGGUUUUUCGCAUCCGGAACCAUCUGGUUUUCCAUUGGCCCCGGGGCCGGGAAAACACUGCAACCUUGCUGGACAUGGCCGUUUCGCUUUGCUAAACGACGCCGUCCUCAACGGACAUCCGGAUUGGAUCCGGGCGCAUGCAGCGAUAUCGGAGAGGCUUGAACACCAAACUCCCAGGUUCGAGCCCUGGUGCGCCCACCAAACAAAUCAGACAUCUCGUUGUUCUGGAUUGG